This 330-nucleotide ribosomal RNA is filed under the name uncultured eukaryote. Its description in RNAcentral is "partial 18S ribosomal RNA". It matches the Rfam family "Eukaryotic small subunit ribosomal RNA", at positions 1470 to 1796 of the family's 1831-position model. The record is from RNAcentral.
CCCUUAGGUGUUCGGGGCCGCACGCGCGCUACACUGAAGGAAUCAGCGCGUCUUUCUCCUUGUCCGAAAGGACUGGGUAACCCGCUGAACCUCCUUCGUGCUAGGGAUUGGGGCUUGUAAUUCUUCCCCAUGAACGAGGAAUUCCCAGUAAGCGCGAGUCAUAAGCUCGCGUUGAUUACGUCCCUGCCCUUUGUACACACCGCCCGUCGCUACUACCGAUUGGAUGGUUUAGUGAGAUCCUCGGAUUGGUCCCGGCGCGGCCUCUGGUCGUGCCGGAGUGCCGAAAAGAAUGUCGAACUUGAUCAUCUAGAGGAAGUAAAAGUCGUAACA